Long non-coding RNA from Vidua chalybeata, 213 nucleotides. RefSeq lists it as uncharacterized. The transcript is spliced from 3 exons. The record is from RefSeq and is a predicted model, not a curated record. NCBI's taxonomy places the organism in Eukaryota, Metazoa, Chordata, Aves, Passeriformes, Viduidae.
AGAAAGCUUCACCUUCUCCUGGUUCCUGGUGAACAAUUCUGUCAAUGAUGGGGAAACACCUUGUGAGCAAUGGUGGUUGACAAUCGCUCCCAGGAUAGUCGACAGACUCAUCACUUGUGCACACUGUGCCAGGCCUAAGGAUCCAUCCCAUCUGCCAAGUUAUGGGCUGUUGUACCAUCUGUAGUAUUAAGUGCUUUAGCCAAAGUAUCAAAU